GGUAGCUAAGUGCGGAAGAGAUAACCGCUGAAAGCAUCUAAGCGGGAAACUUGCCUUGAGAUGAGUCUUCCCUGACUCUUUAAGGGUCCUAAAGGAACGUUUAAGACUAAGACGUUGAUAGGUUGGGUGUGUAAGCGUAGCGAUACGUUGAGCUAACCAAUACUAAUGAACCGUGAGGCUUAACCUG
Molecule: ribosomal RNA, 187 nt
Filed under: Providencia rettgeri
Lineage: Bacteria; Pseudomonadati; Pseudomonadota; Gammaproteobacteria; Enterobacterales; Morganellaceae
Description: partial 23S ribosomal RNA
Rfam family: Bacterial large subunit ribosomal RNA
Source: RNAcentral